This 253-nucleotide ribosomal RNA is filed under the name uncultured bacterium. RNAcentral's name for it is "partial 16S ribosomal RNA". It matches the Rfam family "Bacterial small subunit ribosomal RNA", at positions 524 to 776 of the family's 1533-position model. The record is from RNAcentral.
UACGGGGGGGACAAGCGUUGUUCGGAAUUACUGGGCGUAAAGGGCUCGUAGGCGGCCAACUAAGUCGGAUGUGAAAUCCCCAGGCUCAACCUGGGAACUGCAUCCGAUACUGGAUGGCUUGAAUCCGGGAGAGGGAUGCAGAAUUCCAGGUGUAGCGGUGAAAUGCGUAGAUAUCAUGAGGAAGACCAGUGGCGAAGGCGGGUCUCUGGACAGUUCCUGACACUGAGGCACGAAGGCCAGGGGAGCAAACGGG